This 3034-nucleotide long non-coding RNA is filed under the name Pongo abelii (Sumatran orangutan). Its description in RNAcentral is "lincRNA". The record is from RNAcentral. Lineage: Eukaryota; Metazoa; Chordata; Mammalia; Primates; Hominidae.
AUUUGAUGCCAGUUCCUGGUUGAGAGCUCAGCUAUGGCUAUUGACUGGAUAUCUACACAGGGCUGUCCUUGUGGCAUGGGAGUCUCACAAUGACAACUGAGUUCUCAGAAGGAGAGUGCCUACAGCAGGCACUCCAAAAGAGGUAGGCAGAAGGUGUAACACUUCAUAUGACCUAGCUUUGGGAAUUGUGCAAUGUUACUUAGUUCUGCUUUUUAUCAAUCAAGUGAGUCACAGGCUCAGUCCAGAUUCAGGGGAAAGGAAACUAGACUACAUCUCUUUAUAGGGAGAAUGACUAGGAAUUUGUAGCCACCUAUAAUCCAGUAUAUGCUCUGAUGUCUCAGUUGCAUCUGUGGUUAGACUAGAGAUAUCUGGAUCCAUAUUAACACCUACUGUCAACAAACAGAAGAAACAGUAGGCUGCUAAGGAGAUUCAUAAAAUGACUAAGCUGUUGAGAUGUUGUACACAUACAAACACAGACAUACACUUAUGCGCACACACAAGUAUCUUAUUGCUAAUGGAAUAUUACUAAGGAUGAAGAAAGCCCACUUUUUUGAGUGGAUUUUAUUUCUCCUUUACUGAAAACUAUCAGCACUUUAAGAAAUAUACAAUAAUUUAAAAUGCAUUCCUAUAAACUACUACUCCUUUACUUUAGUCUCUUGUGAUAACUUUAUUAGAUAUGCUUGGCCUAAUAUGUUUAAAGUUAAAGGACUAAUUGAGGUGAAUGAGAUUGUAAGUCUAACCAUUAUAAUAUUAAAACCUAGCAGAGUUGUAGGAAUAUUUUUUUUUAAAUAAUUCAAACAGCAUACUGCUAUACUUAAAGUUAAGAUGCUAAAGAAGAUAUUCACAAGUCACCUGGCUUUAUCACAUGGCUUCCAGAGAAGGAAAUGGGUAAAAUUCCAAAGAGAAGUGGUUUGUAGUCCUCUUUAAAAAAUGUUCUUAUGGGUCGGGCGCCGUGGCUCACGCCUGGAAUCCCAGCACUUUGGGAGGCCGAGGCGGGCUGAUCACAAGGUCAGGAAAUCAAGACCAUCCUGGCUAACACGGUGAAACCUCGUGUCUACUAAAAAUACAAAAAAAAAAAAAAAAAAAAAAGAAUUACCCAGGCAUGGUGGCAAGCGCCUGUAGUCCCAGCUACUCAGGAGGCUGAGGCAGGAGAAUGGCGUGAACCCGGGGAGGCAGAGCUUGCAGUGAGCUGAGAUCAUGCCACUGCACUCCAGCCUUGGUGACAGAGCGAGACUCUGCCUCUAAAUAAAUAAAUAAAUAAAUAAAUAAAUAAAACAAAAUAGAAAAGUUCUUAUCACUAGUACAAGGAGAAAUCCUUGGCUUGUCCUAAUAUUAAUUCACGUCAUAAUCACAGCAUUCUUCCUUAUUUCCUCAGUGAACUCCUUGAGGACAAGGAAUAGUGUCUUGAAAACCUUUGUAAUCCUCAAAUUACCAAGUACUGUGCCUAGUAUAUGAUAAACAACAAGCAAUAAAGGGAUCAGGUAGUAAAAGUAACAUCUGAUCUUCCUGGAAAAUGGACACUGAAUGACCAACAAGAUUUCUAAGCAAUUCUAUUACACAAAAUUCUUGAAGAUACCACACAGUUUGCUCUUUUUUGGUCAAAGCAAUUCUAACUUACUCAACAAACACCUGGGAAUUCCCGAUGUGGUCAUAGGACCCUGUGCUAGAGUCUAAGGAGGAAAAAUAUGUAUAAAAUGCCAUCUUGUAUAUUUUAUACACAUGUGAUUUUAGUGGAUUAAUCUGGUUCUUAAAGUGUUGUGGGGAUACUCAAAUUAUUAUCACUUACAGUAUAUAUAAAGAAAAGAUUUAGAAUAAAUUUACUUUUUUCGUUCUUUUUCAACAAGGAGAACAAAACGAUCAGGCACUUUUGUUUUAAAAAGGGUCUGAAAAAAAUCUAUGUUAUAAAAGAGGUGUUCAUCGUAGUCAUUCAGUUAAAGUAAAAUUUUAUUGGAACCAAUUUUGACCGGUUUGUGAAAAAUUCUGUCUGUUUCAGGUAGUAGAUAAUAAGCGAAUUUAUGAUUUAAAAAGCAAUGGUGGCCGGGCACGGUGGCUCACACCUGUAAUCCCAGCACUUUGAAAGGCCGAGGCAGGUGGUUUGUUUGAGCUCAGGGGUUCGAGACCAGCCUGGGUAACAUGGUGAAACCCUGUCUCUACUAAAAAUAUAAAAAUUAGCUUGGCAUGGUGGCACACGCCUGUAAUCCCAGCUACUUGGGUGGCUGAGGCAGGAGAAUCACUUGAACCCGGGAGACGGAGGCUGCAGUGAACCAAGAUCAAACCACUGCACUCCAGCCUGGGGUGACAGAGUGAGACCCUGUCUCAAAAAGUAAAAUAAAAUAAAAUAAAAUAAAAAUAAAGUAAAAUAAAAAGCAGUGGUAACAAGCAGUGAUCUUAUAACUUUCAUUUUCUCUAGGGCACUCCCAGACCAAGAGAUGGAUUAGCUGUUUACCACACUCCUUUCUAUUGCUAGUCUCCACGUCUUAACCUAUGAGAGACUGUAUAACUGAGCUGUAGAUGAAAUAAGGUGGGCCAAAGCAAUAUAUGCCACAAGGAAUACCCACAAGCAUGACUUAUGUUAGUUUUCCUGCUCGACUCUAGGAAAUAAAGCAGAACAUAGACUCAGCUGCUUCACCAGCCCCAAUGUCCACCUACCUGGAACUCCCAUAGGUGUUAAAUAGGUGAACAUUAAAAACUUUCAAUUUGCUGACCCAUUAUAUUUCUGAGUACACUUGUUGUUCAGCUUCACCUACCCCAAUGAAUAUAUGAUAUCAGACAUAUUAAAAGACAUUUGGAUUCUGUAUUAAACUAUUUUCUAUCCAAGUUUUAAAAGAGUGUCUCUAUGAUUUCAAAAAUAUGUUUGAAUGAAUAUCUUUAAUGUACAAUUGGCUAUAUGCUAUCUGUAAUCAUACCAUAAGCCUGGGAAUCUUUGUAAUGUAAAAGUUUAAAUGACAAAAUCCUGACAGAUUUAAUUAGGUUUUUGUGACUGUUAAGUUGACAACUAUAGGUAACAAUAUUUCAUUAUAUAGAUAUUUAAACA